RNA transcript from Dendronephthya gigantea, 1436 nucleotides. It is a transcript of the gene named kinetochore protein mis18-like, with no coding region annotated. The transcript has 4 exons. Lineage: Eukaryota; Metazoa; Cnidaria; Anthozoa; Malacalcyonacea; Nephtheidae. The record is from RefSeq and is a predicted model, not a curated record.
GUCUCGUGUGUGAACGUUUCUUCGAGAUUUCGAUACCAAUAUGGCUGCCUCUGAGGUGUUAACCACGGAAGAACAAAAACAAAACUGUCACUGAAUUUGUGGUAAAAUCUAAGGAAUGCCAGACAUCCGGUGAAGGAGAUGAUAAAGGAAGGUGAAAUGAUUUCUAGGCAUGGUACAAAACACGGGUAACGGAUAACCGGAUAGCCGGAUAACCGGUACUCUAGCAACUGAUCAUUGAUAAGUAUCAAUGUUCGAUAUCGAAAUAAAGAUUAUGGACAACAUUUCUAGUCUGAACGGUAAAUUAGCUUGUCCUUAAGUCUUACGCGCUAUAGAAUAUUAUCUCCAUAUUCAUUUAAAAGUGUUAAGUAAAAGUUAAGUUUGGGUUGAGUAAAAAACAAAUUCCGAAUAAACACGAGAGUGUAAAUUUUCGACUUUAUUGCAAAGUCAUCUUAAGACAGAAUAAAAUACAAUACUUUAAAAUGCAAAUAUAUACAAAACAGAGAAAGAGCAUAAAGAGAAAAUUGUAGAAUAGAUGUAAUAGAAAGGUUUGUUAUGUUUGAUUAGGAGUGCUUCAAGAAAGGCGAGAAUAUGACACUGAAUAUCUCACCUCAAUUAUGCAUACCUGUUGUCUUAUGCACUUGUUUGUGUGAUACUUUCGUCAUAUUACAAGCUCACAGAUUUCGACAUGCAACUAGACUGCAGAUGAAAGUUCAUUUAUAUUACUUUUCAUCCUUUUUACUUUUUGCUGAGUUUGAGGUCGAGCACAGUCUGCUUACCUUUGACUACGUUAAGAUUCAAGAUUUUUUUAAUGCAGUGAAGACACUGAAAGACAUCUAGAUUCAAAAAUGUAAAUAGAUAUUCUAGUUAUAGAAAUUAAAGUUCCUGUUGAUCUUAAUCUGAUUUACGUUCAGACUAAAAAUUAUGUCCAUAAUCUUUAUUUCGAUAUCGAACAUUGAUAUUUAUCAAUGAUCAGUUACUAGAGUACCGGCAAUCCGGUUAUCUGUUACAGCUGUGUUUUCUACCAUGCCUGAUUUCUAAGCCAUUUGAAUUUAAAGAUAAAGUGCAGGGGGAACUUUUUGAACUAUUACAGUACCUUUCACACUCUGAAAUGCAAGCACUGUCGUCUUGUCAUCGGCCGAAUGUACAACACCACACCAAAGAAACUAGACUGCAUUAGAGAUAUGUAUACACUAAACUGGAGCAAAGUUAAAAGUUACCAACUUGGACAGUGCACAAACACAAGCAUGAAGCCGGAUAUACAAGAUGCAAGAUUAAUAUCGUAUUCAUUGUUACUCAAUUUGAAUGAAAGAAUUACGAAGCUUGAGGGUUUAGUUGAAGAGGUCAUUGAAGAAGAAUCUGAAAACAGGCAUGAUGCUAAUCAAUGUGAUAAAAAAAGAAAAACUACAUGAACCAUUUGCAGAACAACAUUUUGAUGU